GUCGUCGCUUUUAUUGGGCCUAAAACGUCCGUAGCCUGUUUGGUAAAUCUGUGGGUAAAUCAACCAGCUUAACUGGUUGAAUUCUGCAGAGACUGCCAGACUAGGGACCGGGAGAGGUGUGGGGUACUCUAGGGGUAGGGGUAAAAUCCUGUCAUCCUUAGAGGACCACCAGUUGCGAAGGCGCCACACUGGAACGGAUUCGACGGUCAGGGACGAAGCCUAGGGGCACGAACCGGAUUAGAUACCCGGGUAGUCCUAGGUGUAAACGCUGUGAACUUGGUGUCGGGGAUCCGUCAUGGGUCCCCGGUGCCGGAGUGAAGAUGUUAAGUUCACUGCCUGGGGAGUACGGUCGCAAGGCUGAAACUUAAAGGAAUUGGCGGGGGAGCACUGCAACGGGAGGAGCGUGCGGUUUAAUUGGAUUCAACGCCGGAAAACUCACCAGGGCCGACUGUUAGAUGAAGACCAGUGUAACGAACUUGUCGGAUUUUCAGAGAGGUGGUGCAUGGCCGUCGUCAGUUCGUACUGUAAAGCGUUCUGUUAAGUCAGAUAACGAACGAGACCCUCAUCUCUAUUUGCUACCUGUCUCUCCGGAGACAGCGCACUAUAGAGAGACCGCUGGUGUUAAACCAGAGGAAGGCGAGGGCAACGACAGGUCAGUAUGCCCCGAAUGUCCUGGGCUACACGCGCGCUACAAAGGACGGGACAAUGGGAAGCCAGGCCGAGAGGCCGAGCUAACCCGAAACCCGUUCGUAGUUCGGAUUGAGGGCUGUAACUCGCCCUCAUGAAGCUGGAUUCCGUAGUAAUCGUGUUUCAAAAUAGCACGGUGAAUAUGCCCCUGCUCCUUGCACACACCGCCCGUCAAACCAUCUUAGUUGGGGGUGGGUGAGGCUGCGCUUCAUGGCGUAUUCGAGCCUGCCUUCGACAAGGAGGGUUAAGUCGUAACAAGGUAUCUGUAGGGGAACCUGCAGAUG
This 971-nucleotide ribosomal RNA is filed under the name marine metagenome. RNAcentral describes it as "bacterial SSU rRNA". It matches the Rfam family "Archaeal small subunit ribosomal RNA", at positions 491 to 1467 of the family's 1478-position model. The record is from RNAcentral.